This 352-nucleotide ribosomal RNA is filed under the name Manga nubifera. RNAcentral's name for it is "partial 12S small subunit ribosomal RNA". Lineage: Eukaryota; Metazoa; Arthropoda; Insecta; Lepidoptera; Noctuidae. RNAcentral also lists the same sequence under 1 other name. The record is from RNAcentral.
AAAAUUUAAAAUUAAGAUACUAAAAUAGUAGAUAAAUAUUUAUUUAAACUUAAAUAAUUUGGCGGUAUUUUAGUUCAUUUAGAGGAAUCUGUUUAAUAAUUGAUAUUCCACGAAUAAAUUUACUUAAUUUAUUAUUUUGUAUAUCGUUGUUAUAAAAAUAUUUUUUAAUAAUAAUUAAUAUUUAAAAAUUAAUAUGUAAAUUUAAAUCAGAUCAAGAUGCAGAUUAUAAUUAAGAAUAUAAUGGAUUACAAUAAAUUUAUUUAAAUGAAUAUUAAUUUGUAAAAAUUAAUUUAAAGUGGAUUUAAAUGUAAUUUUAUUUAAUUUAAUAAAAUGAUUAAAAAUUAAAAUAUGU